This 469-nucleotide ribosomal RNA is filed under the name uncultured bacterium. RNAcentral's name for it is "bacterial SSU rRNA". It matches the Rfam family "Bacterial small subunit ribosomal RNA", at positions 8 to 526 of the family's 1533-position model. The record is from RNAcentral.
AGAGUUUGAUCCUGGCUCAGAACGAACGCUGGCGGCAGGCUUAACACAUGCAAGUCGAACGCCCCGCAAGGGGAGUGGCGCACGGGUGAGUAACGCGUGGGAACCUACCUAUCGGUACGGAAUAACACAGGGAAACUUGUGCUAAUACCGUAUGAGCUCUACGGAGGAAAGAUUUAUCGCCGAUAGAUGGGCCCGCGUCCGAUUAGCUAGUUGGUGAGGUAACGGCUCACCAAGGCUUCGAUCGGUAGCUGGUCUGAGAGGAUGAUCAGCCACACUGGGACUGAGACACGGCCCAGACUCCUACGGGAGGCAGCAGUGGGGAAUAUUGGACAAUGGGCGCAAGCCUGAUCCAGCCAUGCCGCGUGAGUGAUGAAGGCCUAGGGUUGUAAAGCUCUUUCGUCGGGGAAGAUAAUGACGGUACCCGAAGAAGAAGCCUCGGCUAACUCCGUGCCAGCAGCCGCGGUAAUUC